RNAcentral lists this long non-coding RNA (2224 nucleotides) under Ricinus communis (castor bean). RNAcentral's name for it is "long non-coding RNA (RCOM_LNC003082)". The record is from RNAcentral. Lineage: Eukaryota; Viridiplantae; Streptophyta; Magnoliopsida; Malpighiales; Euphorbiaceae.
CGAUAAGUUCAAUCGAAAAUCGUUUGUCAGUCUGGUAUAAUGUCUCAAAAGAUUAGAUUUGCAGUUGAACUAAAUUGGACCGGAUAAACUAACUAAAAAUAAUGAUUUUCACAUAUAUUUGUUAAAAAUAUAAUUAAAAAAAUAAAAAUACAUUAUAAUACUAAAGAUUGAACCAGCUUGUGACUUACAUUUAGAAGAAGUAUAAUAAUUUUUUACACUUUGUCACGACCCACUCUGGGGGCCCGUGACCGGCACUAGGGAAUGGGUAGGCUUAAGGCCACCGAAACCCGUAGUAAGCCUUACCAACCCGCAAAUCCAAAUAUACAAUUAACCAAAUAUAAAAUAGUCAUAAUUGUCUUGCAUAAUACAUCAUCAAACUACCAACAAGAGUCAGAAUAGUUAUACAAAUUUUAAAAUUCCCUACUGCGGAUACUCUAGAGUAAAAAUGACAAGUAUACAAGUACAAGAUAAUUACAAAAGUCCGAAAAAGAAGAAGUCGGACUGUCGAAUGUGCGAAGGCGAAAGUCUUUAACUGUCACCUGAAAAAAAUUACAACUGAGACUGUCAGUCUCGAGAGUGAGUCAAAAUCAAAUAAUCUAAGGGCUUUUGCAACCUUCACAUGAUAUAUUAAUUAUUCAAAACAAUAUACCAAUUUCUGAAUAUAAUUGCAGUCAUAAUAUAAAAUCAUACACCAUAAUAAUAAAAUGAUAAAAGGAGAGUGUAAAUAAAUAAAGACAUUUUUACUUUCACGGGACGUGUGGCUAAGUAGAACCCUAACCCCAAAUUCUAACAGCCACUUUGGCUCUCUUAAUCCAAUAAGACUGGCGCCCCGAGAGCAAUGCUCGACCAGGGACCUUACCUCCAGUCUGGUCACUUAAAUAUCCAAAUAAGCCGGCGCCCCGAGAGCAAUGCUCGACCAGGGACCUUACCUCCGGCAAUUAACACAAAUCAGCCCAGAGAGCCAUGCUCGACCAGGGCAAACCCAUAAAUAUCUUAUUACAUGUCCAUGAUCAUUACCGGUGCGCACGCGGUCCUGAUGUAACCCAUCAGGCGGCAUGUUCUACAAGCCACAUUUCCCAAUUCGCAAUCAUCACAUAUAAUAAAUAUCAUUAUCUGAUGAACUCAACCAACACAUAUCGAAAUAAAGAUUAAAGAUUUAAGGUAAAACAACGUGCAAUUUGCGAGGGGAAAAAUAAUAACGCUUAUCUUAUUAUAACAUACUAAUAAUAAUAUUUAUAUUAUUUCAAAUAUUAAUAAUCAAGUGAAAUCAUUUAUCUUGCGAUACUAAUAAUCAUAUUAAGCACAAAUUCUAAAUAGCAUAUUAAAAUCAGACUAGCAAUAGCGCAAAGAUUAAAUGACUUUAACUCACAGAUUUGAUGCGUUCCACAGUCCGCUCCUACGCCUCGGGUGGAGCUGGCGGGAAGGCUGAAUUAUCUAAUAACAAAAGACAUACAAUUAAUAGACAUUCGAAAAUUUUUCCUAAACUUAGACCCUAAGGUCGACUGCCUAGAAUUAAAUUGGACUCGAGGAUUCUGCCGAAAAUUUGACAGAACCUCCCCUAAAUUACGGAUAUUUACCCCCCGUAAAACGGGUCCAGGACCUGCCAAAAACAUAUCAGACAUGCUGGAAUUUAAUAACAGGAGCCGGGCCACAAGAACUGCAUUAAUAUUUUCCCGACUCCAAAACACCACAAUCCAAACAAUUCAAUUUGAUUUAUUUUUAAACUACCCAACACAAGCAAUUAAUAGCCUCAAUAACUGUCUAAUAUUAUAACAAAAUUUUUCAGAGUCUAAUAAAAUUAUACCGAGUUGAAAAUUAAAAUAUUUCGCGCGUCCAGAAAACACUGGGGUCCGGAAGCCGGUCCCGCCAACAGUGUCGGAAUUCAAAUCCGGAAGCGCCUACGCGAAGCUCAAGUUGCGGAGAGUCCGGAAGGACAAGAGUUUUGGUCGGAAAGUGGCCGGAAGGCGGCGGAUCGGGGCCGGAAAGUCGCUGCUCACGCGACACCUUUCAAGGCUGCCGGCAAGGAUUUCCGACGGAGGAGGGUUGCUUCAAGGGUUUUCGGGGGUGGGGAGUCCGAUUCCGGCGCCAGAUCGCCGAAAACAAGCCGGCAAGAGGCCGAACGGCGAAGACAACUCCCUACCUUCGGCUAACGUCGGCGGAAAGGAGGAAAGGGGAAGGGGAGCUGCUGCAGAGCGGCGGGAAGGGAGGAAGGCGCUGGCGACGG